GCUACAAGCCAGGCUAUCGCAUCUUAUUAAUUUAAGAGGAGGAAAGUCCGGACAGCACAGAGCAAUGCACCGGUGAAUAGCCGGCCUCCGUCUCGCUUUAAGCGAGACGGUGAGAGAGAGUGCCACAGAAAAUAACUACCUCAGCAAUGAGGAAAGAUGAAAACGUAGGGUAAGAGCCUACGGCCUUUGAUGGUAACAUCAUCGGCGGGUAAACCUUGCAUGCUGAAAUGCCACAUAUAGUAUCGUUUGAGGGCGGCUCGUCCGAGAUACAGGGUAGGCAGCUUGAUUCCCGCAGGUAACUGCGGAACAGAUAAAUGAUAGCCCACGACAGAAUCCGGCUUACCAGCUUGUAGCUUUU
RNAcentral lists this RNase P RNA (358 nucleotides) under Chitinophagaceae bacterium. Its description in RNAcentral is "RNase P RNA component class A". It matches the Rfam family "Bacterial RNase P class A". Rfam says of the family: Ribonuclease P (RNase P) is a ubiquitous endoribonuclease, found in archaea, bacteria and eukarya as well as chloroplasts and mitochondria. Its best characterised activity is the generation of mature 5'-ends of tRNAs by cleaving the 5'-leader elements of precursor-tRNAs. Lineage: Bacteria; Pseudomonadati; Bacteroidota; Chitinophagia; Chitinophagales; Chitinophagaceae. The record is from RNAcentral.